RNAcentral lists this ribosomal RNA (472 nucleotides) under uncultured bacterium. Its description in RNAcentral is "partial 16S ribosomal RNA". It matches the Rfam family "Bacterial small subunit ribosomal RNA", at positions 28 to 523 of the family's 1533-position model. The record is from RNAcentral.
GACGAACGCUGGCGGCGUGCUUAACACAUGCAAGUUGAACGGGCAGGUAUGGAAGCUUGCUGAAGUAUCUGUUAGUAGCGGACGGGUGAGUAAUGCAUGAGAAGCUGCCAUUGGGAGGGGGACAACAGUUGGAAACGGCUGCUAAUACCCCAUAUGCCGGAAGGUGAAACGGAGUGAUCCGCCCGAUGAGGUGCUCAUGUCCUAUCAGCUAGUUGGUGAGGUAACGGCCCACCAAGGCGACGACGGGUAGCCGGCCUGAGAGGGUGACCGGCCACACUGGAACUGAGAUACGGUCCAGACUCCGACGGGAGGCAGCAGUGGGGAAUAUUGGGCAAUGGGGGCAACCCUGACCCAGCGACGCCGCGUGAGGGAAGACGGCCUUCGGGUUGUAAACCUCUUUUGUACGGGAAGAAGGAUGUGACGGUACCGUGCGAAUAAGUCCCGGCUAACUACGUGCCAGCAGCCGCCGUAA